Molecule: long non-coding RNA, 542 nt
Filed under: Brassica napus (rape)
Lineage: Eukaryota; Viridiplantae; Streptophyta; Magnoliopsida; Brassicales; Brassicaceae
Description: long non-coding RNA (BNAP_LNC007616)
Source: RNAcentral
GGAUAAUAUAAUAAAAUUUCAUCAAAUUCUAAGGAAUCACUAAUUUAUGUAAUAUUAAAAAAUAUAUGAGUAGUUUAAUCAAUUUUUUUUUAAAUACGAUAAGAUAUUUUGUGUUUUAUCGGAUCAAUGGUAUCAUAUUGAAGGUUAAUAGUGAGUUUUGGGUUUUUACCGGGUUGUUUUUAAUUAACGCAUUUUUCAUUAAAUCUGAACCGGAUUAUAUACAACGUAUCGGGUCUACAGAUUCAACCAUGAAUCUCGGUCGGAUAUGAAAACAAAUCUUAAAACUCAAACAUUAUUAUAGAACAAGUACCAUAUUUCGAACAAAUGCCAUAUUUUGAAAAGAAAAAAGUGAUAAAAACCUAAAUACUCAAUUGUUAUAGUUCGAAACAAAAUAAUGGUAGUUUGUAGAUCAGUUUUCGAUCAAUAAAUAAAAAAAUAAACACGCGCUUUCUAAGUACGGGUCAAAAUCUAGUUGAUUAUUAAGAUACAAGUCUAGCUUCUCGAUCCAUUAUUUCAAUAAAAGACUAUAUCUUUGGUCCUCA